Molecule: transfer RNA, 70 nt
Filed under: Toxocara canis (dog roundworm)
Lineage: Eukaryota; Metazoa; Nematoda; Chromadorea; Rhabditida; Toxocaridae
Rfam family: tRNA
About the family: Transfer RNA (tRNA) molecules are approximately 80 nucleotides in length. Their secondary structure includes four short double-helical elements and three loops (D, anti-codon, and T loops).
Source: Rfam by way of RNAcentral
GCGGCAGUAGCUCAGUGGUAGAGCCCCCUUCGAAUGCGGGGAGACCUGGGUUUGAUUCCCGGCUGCUUCC